AGUGAACGCUGGCGGUAGGCCUAACACAUGCAAGUCGAACGGCAGCACAGGAGAGCUUGCUCUCUGGGUGGCGAGUGGCGGACGGGUGAGGAAUACAUCGGAAUCUACUCUGUCGUGGGGGAUAACGUAGGGAAACUUACGCUAAUACCGCAUACGACCUACGGGUGAAAGCAGGGGACCUUCGGGCCUUGCGCGAUUGAAUGAGCCGAUGUCGGAUUAGCUAGUUGGCGGGAUAAAGGCCCACCAAGGCGACGAUCCGUAGCUGGUCUGAGAGGAUGAUCAGCCACACUGGAACUGAGACACGGUCCAGACUCCUACGGGAGGCAGCAGUGGGGAAGAUUGGACAAUGGGCGCAAGCCUGAUCCAGCCAUACCGCGUGGGUGAAGAAGGCCUUCGGGUUGUAAAGCCCUUUUGUUGGGAAAGAAAUCCAGCUGGCUAAUACCCGGUUGGGAUGACGGUACCCAAAGAAUAAGCACCGGCUAACUUCGUGCCAGCCGCCGCUGUAA
This 506-nucleotide ribosomal RNA is filed under the name uncultured bacterium. RNAcentral describes it as "partial 16S ribosomal RNA". It matches the Rfam family "Bacterial small subunit ribosomal RNA", at positions 29 to 523 of the family's 1533-position model. The record is from RNAcentral.